UACGUAGGGGGCAAGCGUUGUCCGGAUUUAUUGGGCGUAAAGAGCGUGUAGGCGGCCAGGUAGGUCUGCUGUGAAAACUCGAGGCUUAACCUCGAGAUGUCGGCGGAAACCAUCUGGCUAGAGUCCGGAAGAGGAGAAUGGAAUUCCCGGUGUAGCGGUGAAAUGCGCAGAUAUCGGGAAGAACACCCGUGGCGAAGGCGGUUCUCUGGGACGGUACUGACGCUGAGACGCGAAAGCGUGGGUAGCAAACAGG
Molecule: ribosomal RNA, 253 nt
Filed under: uncultured bacterium
Lineage: Bacteria
Description: partial 16S ribosomal RNA
Rfam family: Bacterial small subunit ribosomal RNA
Source: RNAcentral